This 45-nucleotide non-coding RNA is filed under the name Schistosoma mansoni. Lineage: Eukaryota; Metazoa; Platyhelminthes; Trematoda; Strigeidida; Schistosomatidae. The record is from RNAcentral.
AUCCAGCUGAUGAGUUCCAUGUAGGAUGAAACGCACGUCCUGGAU